CAACAUCAGAAUUCACUUCAUCUACAACAGAGAUAUCCUCAUCUAGUGUAGAACAAACAACAAACCAGCAGACACCAUCCACUCAAUAUCCUUCUACCACUGAAAUAGAAUCUACAACAACAGCUCCAUCAACACUUACAACAGCUGUGUCCGCUCUGAGCACAACCACAACAGAAUCAUCUACACGUGAAAGUGGUUCAACUGUGGGAACAAUAACAUCCACAACAGAUUCUACUCCAUCUUCACCAUCGUCUACAACAGAAGCACAGAUAACAACGGAAUUCACUUCAUCUACAACAGAGAUAUCCUCAUCUAGUGUAGAACAAACAACAAACCAGCAGACAACAACCACUCAAUAUACUUCUACCACUGAUAUAGAAUCUACAACAGCUCCAUCAACAUUUACAACAGCUGUGUCCCCCCUGAGCACAACCACAAUAGAAUCAUCUACAAGUGAAAGUGGUUCAACACUGGGAACAACAUCAUGUCCCACAGUUUCUACUGCAUCUUUAGCAUUGUCUACAACAGUAGGACAGACAACAUUAGAAUUCACUUCAUCUACAACAGAGAUAUCCUUAUCUAGUGUAGAACAAACAACAAACCAGCAGACACCAACCACUGAAUAUACUUCUACCACUGAUAUAGAAUCUACAACAGCUCCAUCAACAUUUACAACAGCUGUGUCCACCCUGAGCACAACCACAAUAGAAACAUUUAUAAGUGAAAGUGGUUCAACACUGGGAACAACAUCAUUUCCAACAGAUUCUACUCCAUCUUCACCAUCGUCUACAACAGAAGCACAGAUAACAACAGAAUUCACUUCAUCUACAACAGAGAUAUCCUCAUCUAGUGUAGAACAAACAACAAACCAGCAAACACCAUCCACUCAAUAUACUUCUACCACUGAUAUCGAAUCUACACCAACAGUUCCAUCAACAUUUACAACAGCUGUAUCUCCUGUGAGCACAACCACAAUAGAAUCAUCUACAAGUGAA
Long non-coding RNA from Cyprinus carpio carpio, 995 nucleotides. NCBI's taxonomy places the organism in Eukaryota, Metazoa, Chordata, Actinopteri, Cypriniformes, Cyprinidae. The record is from Ensembl.